Molecule: ribosomal RNA, 125 nt
Filed under: Dasypus novemcinctus (nine-banded armadillo)
Lineage: Eukaryota; Metazoa; Chordata; Mammalia; Cingulata; Dasypodidae
Source: RNAcentral
AUCUAUGGCUAUACCACCUUGAACAUGCCUGAAAUAGACUGAUUCUGAUUUCUAAAGCUAAUCUGGGUGGGAUCUGGUUAGUACUUGCAUGGCAGACUGCUUGGGUAUACUAAGUGUUGUAGGCU